Sitodiplosis mosellana (orange wheat blossom midge) is the source of this 682-nucleotide RNA transcript. RefSeq lists it as uncharacterized. Lineage: Eukaryota; Metazoa; Arthropoda; Insecta; Diptera; Cecidomyiidae. The record is from RefSeq and is a predicted model, not a curated record.
GAUUACCUAUAUACCGUGGUGGGUGGCCGCGUUAUAAUAACUUGGACAAUAUUUUGAGCCCACGUCCAAAAUUGCCUAUAACAGCAAUUACACGAGAUCCAUUCUGGUACGACUUGGGUGAUUUGGGACUUCGCCCCUUCCGAGCAACUUCCGAAUUGCCUCCGUCUUUGCGUGACUCAUAUUUAUCACCCAUCAAGCGUAGAUACCUUUGGACAAAACACCCCAUGCGUCCAUUCGAGGAUGAAGCUUGGCUCGACAUCCCUUGAAGUUCGAAAUGUGCACACCUUUGCCAUUUAAUAUGUUUUUAUGUUAAUUUCUUUAAAAUGCUUUGACUUUGACCAGAAUCACGAUUCAUUUACCUCUUUGAUCUUUUAUUACUAUAUUCGAAUCGAAGACUCAGGGCUCAUACCCGAUAAAUCGAUUGAUACAACCAACUAUGACCAACUUUAGGACCAUCAAGUCGUUCAAUCGAAAGAUGAAUACAAAAAAUUGAAAAUGAACGGUAAUCUCUACAAAAUAUUACGCUGUCAAUAUUAUAUAUGUAGAGAUGAACAUAUCACAAUCAAGUUUUCUUUUAUCAAGAACCUGUUAAAAUCAUUUUUAUAUUAUUUUGUUUUAAACCAAAAAAGUUUACUUCUCAAAAAAUAACAGACAUCAUAAUAAAAUUGAUAGUAAAACCAAA